Lutra lutra (Eurasian river otter) is the source of this 1343-nucleotide long non-coding RNA. RefSeq lists it as uncharacterized. Lineage: Eukaryota; Metazoa; Chordata; Mammalia; Carnivora; Mustelidae. The transcript has 4 exons. The record is from RefSeq and is a predicted model, not a curated record.
GGAAGUUGCAAAGAUAGUACAGAGAGAUCCUUGAACCCUUCAUCUAGUUUCGCUCAAUGGUUACGGCUCUGGGAACUAUAGCAAUGUAUCAAACCCAGGACCUGACAUUGAUUUUAUUUAUUUGUCAGAGAGAGAGAGAGCACUCGCACAAACAGGAGGAAUGACAGGCUGAAGAGGCAGAGGGAGAAGCAGGCUCCCUGCUGAGCAAGAAGCCUAAUGCGAAACUUGAUCCCAGGACCCUGAGAUCAUGAUCCAAGCUGAAGGCAGAUGCUGAACCAACUGAGCCAUCCAGUGUCAUAAUGGUGAAGAGGAUGGUGACAUCCAAGGACAACCACAGGGCUUCUCUCUCAACACUGGUGAGAACAAGAUUCCUCCCCCUGGGUCUGUAGCUCCCAGCAGAGUUCUGGAAGCUGAUUAAAGAGAAGAUCAGAAAUAAUAGCUGCCCCAGGAGAACCUCAGCUGGUGAAACCAUUGGUACAAGGACCAAAACGGACUGAAGGCAAGAAAGGGAGAGAGACACACAGAAGAGAAGGAGCCCACCAACAAGACAGGUGGGUGGAUGGACUUCUCUACUGGCCAGUUCCUUGGCUAUUCAGAAUUCUCCAGGAGGGAUAGUUGGAAAGAGCUCAGCAAUGCAAUUGGUUGCUCUAGGGUCCCUUACCUUCUGGGAUCCCUAGGAGCAGUGUGGAAGGUCAUUGGAAUGCCACGUGUGGGCUGAAUGGAGGUUCAGUAGUUCUCUGAGCAGUGGAGCAGCACCCCACAACUUUGCAGAGCAUCUCCCUACUGAGGGGUUCCUCACAGUGUCUUUCUAAUUUAAGGCGGAGGCAUACAGUCCCCCACCCCCACCCCUUUUCUGUACCCUAUAGGCCCUCCCAUUUGAAUGCUCAAGAGACUGUUUUGGAAAAACCUCUGAAGGGAAAGACUGUUUCUUUUUGCAUUUCUGCUCCACCAAUCCUAAGGCUUCCUGAAGCUGGGGGUGAGGGUGGGUAGACACCCCCUUGACAGAGACAAGGCAGGGGGUAGAGGUGGAGUGGGAAGAGGAGCUCCUGACUGCAGUCAGCACCCCAGAGAUUCAUCCUGUGUUUUGGGUUGAGUUUCAUUUGCUGGUUUCUUUUUCCAUCUUGUUUACUUUCAUCUCUUCUGUGCUCUUUCAUUCCCUUGCUCAGUAAACCUUACUGACCAUUUCCGUGGCCAGGGUCAGUCCCAGGUGAAAACUCACUUUGAAAACUGAGACAGGUCUUCUCUGUCAAAGGAGGUCACAUUCUAGGUCGGUUUCAAAACAGAGUGAACUUUAUGCUCAGUGGGGGCAGGCAGGGGUGUGGUUUGGGGGCCCAGGUUUUGGG